GCUACGGUGCUCGGUGAUCGCGAGCUCGUCGAAUCGUGUUUUUUUUUCUCGUUGUUGUUGACUACCGCCCGUCACUUUCGCGCCGAAACACGAUCGCGAACACUCGCGCGAUCGGUGUUACACGAGUGAUUCGACCGAUUCCCGUGUCUCGCCGGUGAUAUUUCCGCGACACGGUUCGCACGCGAACGAUUUCCCGUUCCACCUUGCGCGCCCGCGACUCGCAGAGCAGAUACGCCAAGGAUCUCGUGCGCGAGUGACAAACCUGAACGCAAGUUUCCUCUUGUGUAACAACCUGCUCAACGUUACGAUUGAUAUUUCGUACGGAGUGUGACGUAAGGUCGAUUUGGAGUUCGCAAACUUUUGGAGGCGUCUACCUGACCUUUCGAAGAGGAGAGAGACAGAGAUAGAGAGAAAGAAACCGAGCGACAGGAGUCUUUGUGCAUGCAAGAAAGAUCUCACAACUCGGCGGGGAUCAGCGUGACCACGUGUGUGGAAGCCGGCGGAACAGUGUCCGGCGACGCGCGCGCGCGAGAGCAUCGCCGAGAAAUUAAAGGAUCCGUCGAACACGGACACUUUCACGAUCGAAGGCCUCGUAUACGGACGGAGGUAAACUAGAACGAGGGAAGAAGGAGCGCAUUAAGGCAACAGAUUGCCCGCGACCUGCA
Molecule: long non-coding RNA, 665 nt
Organism: Pseudomyrmex gracilis
Lineage: Eukaryota; Metazoa; Arthropoda; Insecta; Hymenoptera; Formicidae
Exons: 3
Source: RefSeq, a predicted model, not a curated record